Molecule: ribosomal RNA, 460 nt
Filed under: uncultured bacterium
Lineage: Bacteria
Description: partial 16S ribosomal RNA
Rfam family: Bacterial small subunit ribosomal RNA
Source: RNAcentral
CCUACGGGAGGCAGCAGUGAGGAAUAUUGGUCAAUGGACGAGAGUCUGAACCAGCCAAGUAGCGUGAAGGAUGACUGCCCUAUGGGUUGUAAACUUCUUUUAUAUGGGAAUAAAAUGUUCCACGUGUGGGAUUUUGUAUGUACCAUAUGAAUAAGGAUCGGCUAACUCCGUGCCAGCAGCCGCGGUAAUACGGAGGAUCCGAGCGUUAUCCGGAUUUAUUGGGUUUAAAGGGAGCGUAGGUGGAUUGUUAAGUCAGGUGUGAAAGUUUGCGGCUCAACCGUAAAAUUGCAGUUGAAACUGGCAGUCUUGAGUACAGGAGAGGUGGGCGGAAUUCGUGGUGUAGCGGUGAAAUGCUUAGAUAUCACGAAGAACUCCGAUUGCGAAGGCAGUUCACUGGACUGCAACUGACACUGAGGCUCGAAAGUGUGGGUAUCAAACAGGAUUAGAUACCCGAGUAGUC